GGCCUCGUCGUCUAGCGGCCCAGGACGCCGCCCUCUCAAGGCGGUAACGGGGGUUCGAAUCCCCUCGAGGCUACCA
This 76-nucleotide transfer RNA is filed under the name Euzebyaceae bacterium. Its description in RNAcentral is "tRNA-Glu". It matches the Rfam family "tRNA". From Rfam's summary of the family: Transfer RNA (tRNA) molecules are approximately 80 nucleotides in length. Their secondary structure includes four short double-helical elements and three loops (D, anti-codon, and T loops). Lineage: Bacteria; Bacillati; Actinomycetota; Nitriliruptoria; Euzebyales; Euzebyaceae. RNAcentral also lists the same sequence under 2 other names. The record is from RNAcentral.